Molecule: ribosomal RNA, 316 nt
Filed under: Pholcus camba
Lineage: Eukaryota; Metazoa; Arthropoda; Arachnida; Araneae; Pholcidae
Description: partial 12S ribosomal RNA
Source: RNAcentral
UAUUAACUUUCUAGGUAGUUAUAAAACCAACACGUAUUGGCGGUCUUUAUAUAUUAGAGAAACUCGCUUUAUAAUCGUAAAUACCCGAUAAAUUUCACUUUUUUCACUAGUUUAUAUACCGCCGUUUCAGCGUUCAAUUAUCUUUAAAACCCUUAAUAUACAUCUAUAAAAAAUCAGGUCAAGGUGUAAUUAAUAAAAAAGGAAAAGUAAGUUACACUAAAAACAAUUUAAGAAUUUUAUAUUAAAAUAAAAAUAAAAAAGAAUUUAAAUGUAAAUAUUAAUUAAAAUUUAAUAUCGAACCAAUUAUUAAAGAUGC